This 499-nucleotide ribosomal RNA is filed under the name uncultured Eubacteriales bacterium. Its description in RNAcentral is "uncultured Clostridiales bacterium partial 16S ribosomal RNA". Lineage: Bacteria; Bacillati; Bacillota; Clostridia; Eubacteriales. The record is from RNAcentral.
CACGUAGUUAGCCGGGGCUUCUUAGCCAGGUACCGUCAUUUUCUUCCCUGCUGAUAGAAGUUUACAUACCGAAAUACUUCUUCCUUCACGCGGCGUCGCUGCAUCAGGGUUUCCCCCAUUGUGCAAUAUUCCCCACUGCUGCCUCCCGUAGGAGUUUGGGCCGUGUCUCAGUCCCAAUGUGGCCGUUCACCCUCUCAGGCCGGCUACUGAUCGUCGCCUUGGUGAGCCCUUACCUCACCAACCAGCUAAUCAGACGCGGGUCCAUCUCAUACCACCGGAGUUUUUCACACUGUCCCAUGCGAGACCGUGCGCUUAUGCGGUAUUAGCAGUCAUUUCUAACUGUUAUCCCCCUGUAUGAGGCAGGUUACCCACGCGUUACUCACCCGCCCGCCACUCAGUCAAAUAGACUUCAAACCGAGUAAUCCGUCUUAAGUGCUUCGUUCGACUUGCAUGUGUUAAGCACGCCGCCAGCGUUCAUCCUGAGCCAGGAUCAAACUCU